UUUAUAUAAAUUGUGUCUCUAAAUAAUUUGUCAUUAUUUGUUUGUGUUGAUGUGUGACGCAUUUUGAAAUUAUAUGAUCUAAAUGAAUUUAUCUUGUUUACUUAUAGAUGAUAUAUUCUUAUAGUGUCUGCGCACAUAAGGAGAACUAAGGUUCAACGCAUAGCAACCCAGUGAUAGAAGCCGUUGCUAUUCACCCCGUGAACGCGAGAGAUAGAACGAACAAGUCUGGAGGCAACAUACAUUAUACACUUUAUUAUUAAUUUUUCCAAUAAAUCACUAAAUGAUGAA
Long non-coding RNA from Galleria mellonella (greater wax moth), 288 nucleotides. RefSeq lists it as uncharacterized. The transcript has 2 exons. The record is from RefSeq and is a predicted model, not a curated record. Lineage: Eukaryota; Metazoa; Arthropoda; Insecta; Lepidoptera; Pyralidae.